GACGAACGCUGGCGGCGUGCCUAAUACAUGCAAGUCGAACGAACUCUGGUAUUGAUUGGUGCUUGCAUCAUGAUUUACAUUUGAGUGAGUGGCGAACUGGUGAGUAACACGUGGGAAACCUGCCCAGAAGCGGGGGAUAACACCUGGAAACAGAUGCUAAUACCGCAUAACAACUUGGACCGCAUGGUCCGAGCUUGAAAGAUGGUUUCGGCUAUCACUUUUGGAUGGUCCCACGGCGUAUUAGCUAGAUGGUGGGGUAAUGGCUCACCAUGGCAAUGAUACGUAGCCGACCUGAGAGGGUAAUCGGCCACAUUGGGACUGAGACACGGCCCAAACUCCUACGGGAGGCAGCAGUAGGGAAUCUUCCACAAUGGACGAAAGUCUGAUGGAGCAACGCCGCGUGAGGGAAGAAGGGUUUCGGCUCGUAAAACUCUGUUGUUAAAGAAGAACAUAUCUGAGAGUAACUGUUCAGGUAUUGACGGUAUUUAACCAGAAAGCCACGGCUAACUACGUGCCAGCCGCCGCGGUAA
RNAcentral lists this ribosomal RNA (530 nucleotides) under uncultured bacterium. Its description in RNAcentral is "partial 16S ribosomal RNA". It matches the Rfam family "Bacterial small subunit ribosomal RNA", at positions 28 to 523 of the family's 1533-position model. The record is from RNAcentral.